CAGUACCUCCCCUGAGCCUCCGUCCGUCAGUUCACAGUCAUCCCCCGUCGCCGUCACUGAGAAACCUUGGCCUGCCCCCCGCCAUGCCUCUUCGUCCGUCACACCGUCAGUCUCCUCUUCAUGCACGCGCCAUGCUGUAACGCGAGGCAGGCACCAGGGAAUGCGGAACUGCACGCCACCUCACGGUCAGGCGAAAGCUUCUCCUCCACACACUUCAUUGACAAGCUGAGGAAUGUCGUAAUUCUCUCCCUUCAACCAUCGGUCGCCUGGCAGUGGAGAAAGGAGCACUGACCUCCAUAAAUCCCUUUCUGAAAUCUAACGGUAACAUUUCCCAGCAAAAAGUUAUAAUGGAGUAAUGUGUUAAUGUUUUAUUUAUACACAUGUUUUUCUAUCUAAUUUUCGUCUUUCCGUUCACUUCCAUAUGCCACACGUACGAGAACUCUAGCAAGAUGGAUACGCCCCGUCAAGACGUCACGUCAUAACACAGCAAGGAGGCAGCACCGAGAUAAAUAACCAUACUAGAUGAUGCAGCAAGACUUCGCUAGCACAUUAGAAACUAUAAACAACAUACUAAAAUUUGUUACUUUAGAGUUGUAGAUGGAGUACCUUACGAAAGACAGCAUCGUAUGAUGAAACAUGUCUGCCGCUGUUAUUUCUUUUCUCCCUCACGUUCAUUUGUAUUGCUUUACAAAAUCAAGGAACGAAAGGAAAGCAGGAUGUGAACAGACAAGCGAAAUAACACGAUAAUAAAGGAAACGAAACAAGACAACUGAAACCAAUAGUGGAA
Portunus trituberculatus (swimming crab) is the source of this 787-nucleotide long non-coding RNA. RefSeq lists it as uncharacterized. NCBI's taxonomy places the organism in Eukaryota, Metazoa, Arthropoda, Malacostraca, Decapoda, Portunidae. The record is from RefSeq and is a predicted model, not a curated record. The transcript has 3 exons.